Molecule: non-coding RNA, 6758 nt
Organism: Oryctolagus cuniculus (rabbit)
Lineage: Eukaryota; Metazoa; Chordata; Mammalia; Lagomorpha; Leporidae
Source: RefSeq, a predicted model, not a curated record
CUUGUAAACUGCUUCUCUCUAGACCCAGGAUACAGAAAUACUGCAAGCUGCGUUUGCUACACUCACGCUACGGAUAUCCCAGAUAUAGCGUACUCCAACUCCCAGGCUACAGAACUCUUGUAAACUGCUUCAUUCUACACCCAGGAUACGGAACUCUGUUAAACUGCAUCUCUCUACCCCAAUGUCACAAAAAGCACGUGAGCUGCAUCUCCUACACUCAGGCUAUAGAAAUCCCACUUAUUUCGAAUGUCUACUCCCAGGCUACAGAACUCUUGUAAGCUUCUUCUUUCUAGACCUAGGAUACAGAAAUACGGUAAGCUGUGUCUGCUGCACCAAGGCUACAGAUAUCCCAGAUAUUGCGAAUGCCUACUCCCAGGCUACAGAACUGGUGCAAACUGCUUCUCUCAAUACCCAGGUUACAGAAAUCCUGUACAGUGCGAAUGCCUACCCCCAGGCAUUCAUUCUACAGCUCAUAGCAAACCCGCAUAUUGCGUAUUGCUAGUCCCAGGCUCCAGAACUCUUGUAAACGCCUUCAUUCUACACCCAGGAUACAGAAUUCUGGUAAACUGCAUCUCUCUACCCAACCUAACAACAAGCACAUGAGCUGCAUCUCCCACAUUCAGGUUAUAGGAAACCCACAUAUUGUGUAUUGCACACUCCCACGCUACAGAACUCGGUAAACUGUUUCUCUCUGUAAGCAGCUUCCACAAUUCCCAUAAACUGCAUCUCUCCACACCCAGCUUAUAGAACUCCCGGAGGCUGCAUUUCCCUGCAACCACGUUACAGAACACCCAUUAGCUGCAUCUCCCACACACGGGCUAUAGAAAACCUGCAGAGUGCAUAUUGCUACUCCCACACGACAGAACUCUGUAAAGUGCUUCUAACUACACCGAGCGUACAGAAUCCCAUAAACUGCAUCUCUCACCACCCAGCUUACUGAACUCCCCUAAGCUGCGUCUCCUACAGUUAAGCUACACAAAAACCGCAAAUCGCGUAUUGCUACUCCCAAGCUACACAACACUGUAUACUGCUUUUCCAUAUACCAGGGAAACAGAACUCUCAUCAACUACAUUGCCCUUCACCAAUGACACAAAACCCCCGUUACCUUGUCUCCCUCACUCGUGUUAUGGAAAACCUGCAUAUGGUGCAUUGCUACUUCCAUGCCACAGAACUCUGUAAAGUACUUCUCUGUACAUCCAGACUACAGAACUCUUGUACACUGCUUCUCUCUAGACCAAGGAUACAGAAAUACCGCAAGCUGUGUCUGCUAUACUCACGCUACAGAUGUUCCAGAUAUUGCGUACUCCUACUCCCAGGCUACAGAACUCUUGUACACUGCAUAUCCCAAGACCCAGGAUACUGAAAUACCACAAGCUGUGUCUUCUACACAUAAGCCACAGGUAUCCCAGAUAUUGGGAAUGCCUACUCCCAGGCUACAGAACUGGUGCAAACUGCUUCUCUCAACACUCAGGUUACUGAAAUCCUUUACAGUGCGAACGCCUACCCCCAGGCAUUCAUUCUACAGCUCAUAGCAAACCCGCAUAUUGCGUAUUGCUAGUCCCAGGCUCCAGAACUCUUGUAAACGCCUUCAUUCUACACCCAGGAUACAGAAUUCUGGUAAACUGCAUCUCUCUACCCAACCUAACAACAAGCACAUGAGCUGCAUCUCCCACAUUCAGGUUAUAGGAAACCCACAUAUUGCAUAUUGCUACUCCCCCGCAUGGGCUAUAGAAAACCUGCAGAGUGCGUAUGCAACUCCCACACUACAGAACUCUGUAAAGUGCUUCUAACUACACCGAGCGUACAGAAUCCCAUAAACUGCAUCUCUCACCACCCAGCUUACUGAACUCCAGUAAGCUGCGUCUCCUACAGUUAAGCUACACCAAAACCGCAAAUCGCGUAUUGCUACUCCCAAGCUACACAACACUGUAUACUGCUUUUCUAUAUACCAGGGAAACAGAACUCUCAUCAACUACAUUGCCCUUCACCAAUGUUACAAAACAACCGUUGCUGCAUCUCCCACACUCGUGUUAUGGAAAACCUGCAUAUUGUGCAUUGCUACUUCCAUGCUACAGAACUCUGUAAAGUACUUCUCUGUACAUCCAGGCUACAGAACUCUUGUAAACUGCUUCUCUCUAGACCCAGGAUACAGAAAUACUGCAAGCUGCGUUUGCUACACUCACGCUACGGAUAUCCCAGAUAUAGCGUACUCCAACUCCCAGGCUACAGAACUCUUGUAAACUGCUUCAUUCUACACCCAGGAUACGGAACUCUGUUAAACUGCAUCUCUCUACCCCAAUGUCACAAAAAGCACGUGAGCUGCAUCUCCUACACUCAGGCUAUAGAAAUCCCACUUAUUUCGAAUGUCUACUCCCAGGCUACAGAACUCUUGUAAGCUUCUUCUUUCUAGACCUAGGAUACAGAAAUACGGUAAGCUGUGUCUGCUGCACCAAGGCUACAGAUAUCCCAGAUAUUGCGAAUGCCUACUCCCAGGCUACAGAACUGGUGCAAACUGCUUCUCUCAAUACCCAGGUUACAGAAAUCCUGUACAGUGCGAAUGCCUACCCCCAGGCAUUCAUUCUACAGCUCAUAGCAAACCCGCAUAUUGCGUAUUGCUAGUCCCAGGCUCCAGAACUCUUGUAAACGCCUUCAUUCUACACCCAGGAUACAGAAUUCUGGUAAACUGCAUCUCUCUACCCAACCUAACAACAAGCACAUGAGCUGCAUCUCCCACAUUCAGGUUAUAGGAAACCCACAUAUUGUGUAUUGCACACUCCCACGCUACAGAACUCGGUAAACUGUUUCUCUCUGUAAGCAGCUUCCACAAUUCCCAUAAACUGCAUCUCUCCACACCCAGCUUAUAGAACUCCCGGAGGCUGCAUUUCCCUGCAACCACGUUACAGAACACCCAUUAGCUGCAUCUCCCACACACGGGCUAUAGAAAACCUGCAGAGUGCAUAUUGCUACUCCCACACGACAGAACUCUGUAAAGUGCUUCUAACUACACCGAGCGUACAGAAUCCCAUAAACUGCAUCUCUCACCACCCAGCUUACUGAACUCCCCUAAGCUGCGUCUCCUACAGUUAAGCUACACAAAAACCGCAAAUCGCGUAUUGCUACUCCCAAGCUACACAACACUGUAUACUGCUUUUCCAUAUACCAGGGAAACAGAACUCUCAUCAACUACAUUGCCCUUCACCAAUGUCACAAAACCCCCGUUACCUUGUCUCCCUCACUCGUGUUAUGGAAAACCUGCAUAUGGUGCAUUGCUACUUCCAUGCCACAGAACUCUGUAAAGUACUUCUCUGUACAUCCAGACUACAGAACUCUUGUACACUGCUUCUCUCUAGACCAAGGAUACAGAAAUACCGCAAGCUGUGUCUGCUAUACUCACGCUACAGAUGUUCCAGAUAUUGCGUACUCCUACUCCCAGGCUACAGAACUCUUGUACACUGCAUAUCCCAAGACCCAGGAUACUGAAAUACCACAAGCUGUGUCUUCUACACAUAAGCCACAGGUAUCCCAGAUAUUGGGAAUGCCUACUGCCAGGCUACAGAACUGGUGCAAACUGCUUCUCUCAACACUCAGGUUACUGAAAUCCUUUACAGUGCGAACGCCUACCCCCAGGCAUUCAUUCUACAGCUCAUAGCAAACCCGCAUAUUGCGUAUUGCUAGUCCCAGGCUCCAGAACUCUUGUAAACGCCUUCAUUCUACACCCAGGAUACAGAAUUCUGGUAAACUGCAUCUCUCUACCCAACCUAACAACAAGCACAUGAGCUGCAUCUCCCACAUUCAGGUUAUAGGAAACCCACAUAUUGCAUAUUGCUACUCCCCCGCAUGGGCUAUAGAAAACCUGCAGAGUGCGUAUGCAACUCCCACACUACAGAACUCUGUAAAGUGCUUCUAACUACACCGAGCGUACAGAAUCCCAUAAACUGCAUCUCUCACCACCCAGCUUACUGAACUCCAGUAAGCUGCGUCUCCUACAGUUAAGCUACACCAAAACCGCAAAUCGCGUAUUGCUACUCCCAAGCUACACAACACUGUAUACUGCUUUUCUAUAUACCAGGGAAACAGAACUCUCAUCAACUACAUUGCCCUUCACCAAUGUUACAAAACAACCGUUGCUGCAUCUCCCACACUCGUGUUAUGGAAAACCUGCAUAUUGUGCAUUGCUACUUCCAUGCUACAGAACUCUGUAAAGUACUUCUCUGUACAUCCAGGCUACAGAACUCUUGUAAACUGCUUCUCUCUAGACCCAGGAUACAGAAAUACUGCAAGCUGCGUUUGCUACACUCACGCUACGGAUAUCCCAGAUAUAGCGUACUCCAACUCCCAGGCUACAGAACUCUUGUAAACUGCUUCAUUCUACACCCAGGAUACGGAACUCUGUUAAACUGCAUCUCUCUACCCCAAUGUCACAAAAAGCACGUGAGCUGCAUCUCCUACACUCAGGCUAUAGAAAUCCCACUUAUUUCGAAUGUCUACUCCCAGGCUACAGAACUCUUGUAAGCUUCUUCUUUCUAGACCUAGGAUACAGAAAUACGGUAAGCUGUGUCUGCUGCACCAAGGCUACAGAUAUCCCAGAUAUUGCGAAUGCCUACUCCCAGGCUACAGAACUGGUGCAAACUGCUUCUCUCAAUACCCAGGUUACAGAAAUCCUGUACAGUGCGAAUGCCUACCCCCAGGCAUUCAUUCUACAGCUCAUAGCAAACCCGCAUAUUGCGUAUUGCUAGUCCCAGGCUCCAGAACUCUUGUAAACGCCUUCAUUCUACACCCAGGAUACAGAAUUCUGGUAAACUGCAUCUCUCUACCCAACCUAACAACAAGCACAUGAGCUGCAUCUCCCACAUUCAGGUUAUAGGAAACCCACAUAUUGUGUAUUGCUACUCCCACGCUACAGAACUCGGUAAACUGUUUCUCUCUGUAAGCAGCUUCCACAAUUCCCAUAAACUGCAUCUCUCCACACCCAGCUUAUAGAACUCCCGGAGGCUGCAUUUCCCUGCAACCACGUUACAGAACACCCAUUAGCUGCAUCUCCCACACACGGGCUAUAGAAAACCUGCAGAGUGCAUAUUGCUACUCCCACACGACAGAACUCUGUAAAGUGCUUCUAACUACACCGAGCGUACAGAAUCCCAUAAACUGCAUCUCUCACCACCCAGCUUACUGAACUCCCCUAAGCUGCGUCUCCUACAGUUAAGCUACACAAAAACCGCAAAUCGCGUAUUGCUACUCCCAAGCUACACAACACUGUAUACUGCUUUUCCAUAUACCAGGGAAACAGAACUCUCAUCAACUACAUUGCCCUUCACCAAUGUCACAAAACCCCCGUUACCUUGUCUCCCUCACUCGUGUUAUGGAAAACCUGCAUAUUGUGCAUUGCUACUUCCAUGCUACAGAACUCUGUAAAGUACUUCUCUGUACAUCCAGACUACAGAACUCUUGUACACUGCUUCUCUCUAGACCAAGGAUACAGAAAUACCGCAAGCUGUGUCUGCUAUACUCACGCUACAGAUGUUCCAGAUAUUGCGUACUCCUACUCCCAGGCUACAGAACUCUUGUACACUGCAUAUCCCAAGACCCAGGAUACUGAAAUACCACAAGCUGUGUCUUCUACACAUAAGCCACAGGUAUCCCAGAUAUUGGGAAUGCCUACUCCCAGGCUACAGAACUGGUGCAAACUGCUUCUCUCAACACUCAGGUUACUGAAAUCCUUUACAGUGCGAACGCCUACCCCCAGGCAUUCAUUCUACAGCUCAUAGCAAACCCGCAUAUUGCGUAUUGCUAGUCCCAGGCUCCAGAACUCUUGUAAACGCCUUCAUUCUACACCCAGGAUACAGAAUUCUGGUAAACUGCAUCUCUCUACCCAACCUAACAACAAGCACAUGAGCUGCAUCUCCCACAUUCAGGUUAUAGGAAACCCACAUAUUGCAUAUUGCUACUCCCCCGCAUGGGCUAUAGAAAACCUGCAGAGUGCGUAUGCAACUCCCACACUACAGAACUCUGUAAAGUGCUUCUAACUACACCGAGCGUACAGAAUCCCAUAAACUGCAUCUCUCACCACCCAGCUUACUGAACUCCAGUAAGCUGCGUCUCCUACAGUUAAGCUACACCAAAACCGCAAAUCGCGUAUUGCUACUCCCAAGCUACACAACACUGUAUACUGCUUUUCUAUAUACCAGGGAAACAGAACUCUCAUCAACUACAUUGCCCUUCACCAAUGUUACAAAACAACCGUUGCUGCAUCUCCCACACUCGUGUUAUGGAAAACCUGCAUAUUGUGCAUUGCUACUUCCAUGCUACAGAACUCUGUAAAGUACUUCUCUGUACAUCCAGGCUACAGAACUCUUGUAAACUGCUUCUCUCUAGACCCAGGAUACAGAAAUACUGCAAGCUGCGUUUGCUACACUCACGCUACGGAUAUCCCAGAUAUAGCGUACUCCAACUCCCAGGCUACAGAACUCUUGUAAACUGCUUCAUUCUACACCCAGGAUACGGAACUCUGUUAAACUGCAUCUCUCUACCCCAAUGUCACAAAAAGCACGUGAGCUGCAUCUCCUACACUCAGGCUAUAGAAAUCCCACUUAUUUCGAAUGUCUACUCCCAGGCUACAGAACUCUUGUAAGCUUCUUCUUUCUAGACCUAGGAUACAGAAAUACGGUAAGCUGUGUCUGCUGCACCAAGGCUACAGAUAUCCCAGAUAUUGCGAAUGCCUACUCCCAGGCUACAGAACUGGUGCAAACUGCUUCUCUCAA